GCAGUCGACGCGCAGCGAAAGGUGCUUGCACCUUUCAAGCGAGUGGCGAACGGGUGAGUAACACGUGGAUAACCUGCCUCAAGGCUGGGGAUAACAUUUGGAAACAGAUGCUAAUACCGAAUAAAACUUAGUAUCGCAUGAUACAAAGUUGAAAGGCGCUACGGCGUCACCUAGAGAUGGGUCCGCGGUGCAUUAGUUAGUUGGUGGGGUAAAGGCCUACCAAGACAAUGAUGCAUAGCCGAGUUGAGAGACUGAUCGGCCACAUUGGGACUGAGACACGGCCCAAACUCCUACGGGAGGCUGCAGUAGGGAAUCUUCCACAAUGGGCGAAAGCCUGAUGGAGCAACGCCGCGUGUGUGAUGAAGGCUUUAGGGUCGUAAAGCACUGUUGUAUGGGAAGAAAUGCUAGAAUAGGGAAUGAUUCUAGUUCGACGGUACCAUACCAGAAAGGGACGGCUAAAUACGUGCCAGCAGCCGCGGUAAUACGUAUGUCCCGAGCGUUAUCCGGAUUUAUUGGGCGUAAAGCGAGCGCAGACGGUUGAUUAAGUCUGAUGUGAAAGCCCGGAGCUCAACUCCGGAAUGGCAUUGGAAACUGGUUAACUUGAGUGUUGUAGAGGUAAGUGGAACUCCAUGUGUAGCGGUGGAAUGCGUAGAUAUAUGGAAGAACACCAGUGGCGAAGGCGGCUUACUGGACAACAACUGACGUUGAGGCUCGAAAGUGUGGGUAGCAAACAGGAUUAGAUACCCUGGUAGUCCACACCGUAAACGAUGAAUACUAGGUGUUAGGAGGUUUCCGCCUCU
This 800-nucleotide ribosomal RNA is filed under the name Leuconostoc lactis. Its description in RNAcentral is "bacterial SSU rRNA". It matches the Rfam family "Bacterial small subunit ribosomal RNA", at positions 57 to 840 of the family's 1533-position model. Lineage: Bacteria; Bacillati; Bacillota; Bacilli; Lactobacillales; Lactobacillaceae. The record is from RNAcentral.